ACAAGAUGGCCAAGUACUUUCCAGCUUUGUUAUCACAGAAUUAAAUUCUGCCUCGAGUUGUGGCUGUCUUGCUUUGUUCCAGCGAGUAAGUCUGAUGGAUGAAAUUUCCAUCUGAGCACAACUUUGUGGUUGGGGCAGCUUUACUUCUAAACUGGCUGUAUUCAAGGGCAACAUCAUCAACAAGGAAUGUGGCACAGUACUUGGAAGAUGCUUCAGGAACAUAAGAAAUGAAAUUUGGGGAGAAGGUUCCUUUCAUAGGCAACGCAACAAGACUUUUGCGACUCAACCUAAGAUCACUGGAGAGAGAGAGAGAGCAAAUCUAGUGUGGCAGCAUCAUCAUAUCCCUCUCCACACUGCACGGACCAAGGACCCUGAGAUUCUGACCAAAGUCAUCGGCAUGAUGGAGAACAGUUGGUCUAGAUGGAUGGACAGGAGCAGUAAUGAAGAAGCCUUCUCUCUUCAAAGUGGCUAUGAAUGGCUGAUACAGAUAUGGAUGAACAAAAGCAUCAGCAAACAAGGCCUGCAGAGGGCUGAGAAUGACCAAUAAUCAAUAAUUGACUAACUGGCCCUGUGUCCUUCUCUGACUCUCACCUCAGGGCUUUAUUCCAUGCAGCCUCAGACACCUGGAACCCCUUCCCUAACCCAGACAGAUAAACCUCCACUCUCUCUCCCCUUCCAAAUUCUUCCUUAAAAUGGGUCUCUUCCCUAUGAUCUGCAGUCCCUGCACAGAGAAGUGGCAGCUAGUCCGAUGAUCGAUCAGCAAAACCCUACACUC
Mauremys reevesii (Reeves's turtle) is the source of this 775-nucleotide long non-coding RNA. RefSeq lists it as uncharacterized. The transcript is spliced from 3 exons. The record is from RefSeq and is a predicted model, not a curated record. NCBI's taxonomy places the organism in Eukaryota, Metazoa, Chordata, Testudines, Geoemydidae.